CAGCACUCGUGUGACUAAAUGGAUCAGAACCCUGGAGCUGCUGUUCUCUCUCUGGUAUUGUGUCUGUGUUCAGCAGGGACCUCGCCUCUAGCAACAGGAAUAGAGCGCUAUGCUCGGACGGGAGACACCGUUGUCCUGCCUUGCAGAGAGGCUUCGGCGGGGUUCAGGGAAUCGAUACAGUGGUCUUACAACACGGCCUCUGGCACGCGCUCUCCUUUAUUCACUCUUCAAAGCUCUGGGGCAAUUAUAACGGGAGUAACAAAGCUUAAGGACAGGAAACAGAUUGUACACAACUCAUCUCUAAGGAUACAGGAAUUGAAAAAAGAUGACUUUGGGACGUACACGUGUGAUGUUUGCACUGGCAAAGGUCACUGCACUACAGUAUCACAGAUUUCCUUGUUGCUUUCAAAAGACCAUGUGACAGGUUGGCCGAGUGGUGACGUCACAGACCAGGAAGUAACCACACACAGACAAGGUACUAC
This is a long non-coding RNA of Acipenser ruthenus (sterlet), 482 nucleotides long. RefSeq lists it as uncharacterized. The transcript has 3 exons. Lineage: Eukaryota; Metazoa; Chordata; Actinopteri; Acipenseriformes; Acipenseridae. The record is from RefSeq and is a predicted model, not a curated record.